UCAAGUAGUUCUGCAUAGAAAUAGAUAUAGAUAUAAGGUUGGUCUUGCAUGCACCCGGUCGCAUAGUAUGUGAUCGGUUACUUUUAAUAAGCAUAAGAUAUACAUUUGUUCGCACAAAUAUUGUAUACUUAUGUAAUUGUACAAGUUUUCAUUUAUAAAAGUAACACUUAUCGUGAAUAAAUAUAAUACUUUAUAAAUAUUAUAUUUCAUUGUAACAAUAAUUACUUUUUGUAUCCUGACCUUUUCGGCUCUUUUAUUCAAACACACGCCCACACUCAGCCCCAUACCUGAAAAUUGAUAAAUAAAUCUACGGUAUCAAUAUUCAUUUAGGAUGGUGAUAAAUUUAUUAUGAGAAAAAGAGGAAUAACAAAAAAAUCCACCUUAAAUUCCCUCUUUUUUCCCUUGUAUUUUAUAUACAAGAGAAUUUCAUUCUUUCUCAUUUUCAUUUCAAAGAAGAAUAAUAUUAUCGCUUCUUGGAGUGAAGAUAAAGAAUGAGAAAUGAUGAAAUUCUCUUUCUUAGAAAAUGAGGAAAAAGAGAGAAGGUAUUUAAAGGGAAAAUUUUUUGAUAUACCUCAUUUUUCCAUGAUAAAUUUAUCAACCAAACAAAACACAACCUCAGAGAAUAUAUGUUAAAGACGAGGACGUGAAUUGAUCAGCAGUUGCAGGACUAACCUUCGAAACUUGACAGUAAUGGGUUUCCCGCCAAAAGAAGAAGAGACAGUAACAUCAAGGUAAGUACCCCGGCAUGGUUGUAAUUGCUCGGCACAAGUCAAAGCUACAGGAUUGCAGUCGACUAAUUCAAUCGAGCCACUCCUAUAAUGAGACGGCCAGUGGAUCUCUUCAAGUUCGUAGCAGUGUUUCAUGCUCAGGCAGGCAAGAUGAGGGAAGCUCUCAUAUCUUGGUUUCCAUUGCACCAAAUCAGUGUCUUCAAUCAGAAGAAACUUAAGUUUCAAAAA
RNAcentral lists this long non-coding RNA (956 nucleotides) under Salvia miltiorrhiza (redroot sage). Its description in RNAcentral is "long non-coding RNA (SMIL_LNC006439)". The record is from RNAcentral. Lineage: Eukaryota; Viridiplantae; Streptophyta; Magnoliopsida; Lamiales; Lamiaceae.